AGGUUACUGCUAUCGGUGUUCGCCUAAGCCAUGCGAGUCAUAUGUUCUUCGUGAACAUGGCGUACUGCUCAGUAACACGUGGAUAACCUGCCCUUGGGUCCGGCAUAACCCCGGAAAACUGGGGAUAAUUCCGGAUAACGCACAUAUGCUGGAAUGCUUUAUGCGUCAAAUGGAUUCGUCCGCCCAAGGAUGGGUCUGCGGCCUAUCAGGUAGUAGUGGGUGUAAUGUACCUACUAGCCUACGACGGGUACGGGUUGUGAGAGCAAGAGCCCGGAGAUGGAUUCUGAGACAUGAAUCCAGGCCCUACGGGGCGCAGCAGGCGCGAAAACUUUAUAAUGCGGGAAACCGUGAUAAGGGGACACCGAGUGCCAGCAUCAUAUGUUGGCUGUCCGGGUGUGUAAAAUACACCUGUUAGCAAGGGCCGGGCAAGACCGGUGCCAGCCGCCGCGGUAACACCGGCGGCCCGAGUGGUGAUCGUGAUUAUUGGGUCUAAAGGGUCCGUAGCCGGUUUGGUCAGUCCUCCGGGAAAUCUGACGGCUUAACCGUUAGGCUUUCGGGGGAUACUGCCAGACUUGGAACCGGGAGAGGUAAGAGGUACUACAGGGGUAGGAGUGAAAUCUUGUAAUCCCUGUGGGACCACCUGUGGCGAAAGCGUCUUACCAGAACGGGUUCGACGGUGAGGGACGAAAGCUGGGGGCACGAACCGGAUUAGAUACCCGGGUGGUCCCAGCCGUAAACGAUGCUCGCUAGGUGUCAGGCAUGGCGCGACCGUGUCUGGUGCCGCAGGGAAGCCGUGAAGCGAGCCACCUGGGAAGUACGGCCGCAAGGCUGAAACUUA
This 838-nucleotide ribosomal RNA is filed under the name uncultured soil archaeon. Its description in RNAcentral is "bacterial SSU rRNA". It matches the Rfam family "Archaeal small subunit ribosomal RNA", at positions 21 to 858 of the family's 1478-position model. The record is from RNAcentral.